AUUGAACGCUGGCGGCAUGCUUUACACAUGCCAGUCGAACGGCAGCGCGGGCUUCGGCCUGGCGGCGAGUGGCGGACGGGUGAGUAAUGCAUCGGAACGUGCCCAGUAGUGGGGGAUAGCCCGGCGAAAGCCGGAUUAAUACCGCAUACGACCUGAGGGUGAAAGCGGGGGACCGAAAGGCCUCGCGCUAUUGGAGCGGCCGAUGUCGGAUUAGCUAGUUGGUGGGGUAAAGGCUUACCAAGGCGACGAUCCGUAGCUGGUCUGAGAGGACGACCAGCCACACUGGGACUGAGACACGGCCCAGACUCCUACGGGAGGCAGCAGUGGGGAAUUUUGGACAAUGGGGGCAACCCUGAUCCAGCCAUGCCGCGUGCGGGAAGAAGGCCUUCGGGUUGUAAACCGCUUUUGUUCGGGAAGAAAUCCUCUGGGCUAAUACCCCGGGGGGAUGACGGUACCGGAAGAAUAAGCACCGGCUAACUACGUG
Molecule: ribosomal RNA, 484 nt
Filed under: uncultured bacterium
Lineage: Bacteria
Description: partial 16S ribosomal RNA
Rfam family: Bacterial small subunit ribosomal RNA
Source: RNAcentral